Molecule: ribosomal RNA, 894 nt
Filed under: Bacillus tequilensis
Lineage: Bacteria; Bacillati; Bacillota; Bacilli; Caryophanales; Bacillaceae
Description: bacterial SSU rRNA
Rfam family: Bacterial small subunit ribosomal RNA
Source: RNAcentral
AUAAUUCAUCAGGCUGUAUGGAGGCCGCCCCCGAUACCCUAAGUGUGAAGUCCUCGGCCCCGCCUCCACCGGGCAGGGUCAUUCGACAUUGUGGGACGCGACUGCAGGGGAGGAGACCCCAAUUACAUGUGGCGCGGUGAAUUGAGCAGGGAUGUGGCCCAACACCUGUGGCGAAGGCGACCCUCUGGUAUGUAAUCGACGGUGAGGAGUGAGAGCGAGGGGAGCGAACAGGAUUAGAUAGUUUGGUAGUCCACGUAGCAAAUGAUGAGUGUCUAAGUGUUAGGGCGUUUCCGUCCUUUAGCGCUGCAGUUAACGCAUUAAGCACUCCGCCUGGGGAGUACGGUCGCAAGACUGAAACUCAAAGGAAUUGACGGGGGCCCGCACAAGCGGCGGAGCAUGUGGUUUAAUUCGAAGCAACGCGAAGAACCUUACCAGGUCUUGACAUCCUCUGACAAUCCUAGAGAUAGGACGUCCCCUUCGGGGGCAGAGUGACAGGUGGUGCAUGGUUGUUGUCAGCUCGUGUCGUGAGAUGUUGGGUUAAGUCCCGCAACGAGCGCAACCCUUGAUCUUAGUUGCCAGCAUUCAGUUGGGCACUUUAAGGUGACUGCCGGUGACAAACCGGAGGAAGGUGGGGAUGACGUCAAAUCAUCAUGCCCCUUAUGACCUGGGCUACACACGUGCUACAAUGGACAGAACAAAGGGCAGCGAAACCGCGAGGUUAAGCCAAUCCCACAAAUCUGUUCUCAGUUCGGAUCGCAGUCUGCAACUCGACUGCGUGAAGCUGGAAUCGCUAGUAAUCGCGGAUCAGCAUGCCGCGGUGAAUACGUUCCCGGGCCUUGUACACACCGCCCGUCACACCACGAGAGUUUGUAACACCCGAAGUCGGUGAGGUAA